This 408-nucleotide ribosomal RNA is filed under the name uncultured bacterium. RNAcentral's name for it is "partial 16S ribosomal RNA". It matches the Rfam family "Bacterial small subunit ribosomal RNA", at positions 28 to 526 of the family's 1533-position model. The record is from RNAcentral.
GACGAACGCUGGCGGCGUGCUUAACACAUGCAAGUCGAACGAAGUGGCGUACGGGUGAGUAACGCGUAAUCAACCUGCCCUUCAGAGGGGGACAACAGUUGGCAACGACUCCUAAUACCGCAUACUGAAGGAGGGGCUUGCGUCGGAUUAGCUAGGUGGAGGGGUAACGGCCCACCAAGGCGAAGUUCAGAUGCCGGUCUGGGAGGAUGGACGGCCACAUUGGGACUGAGAAACGGCCCAGACUCCUACGGGAGGCAGCAGUGGGGAAACUUCCGCAAUGGACGAAAGUCUGACGGAGCAAAGCCGCGUGAGUGAUGACGGCCUUCGGGUUGUAAAGCUCUGUUAAUCGGGACGCGGUACCGGAAUAGAAAGCCACGGCUAACUACGUGCCAGCAGCCGCGGUAAUAC